CCUACGGGAGGCAGCAGUGGGGAAUAUUGGACAAUGGGCGGAAGCCUGAUCCAGCAACGCCGCGUGAGGGAUGACGGCCUUCGGGUUGUAAACCUCUUUCAGUAGGGACGAAGCGCAAGUGACGGUACCUACAGAAGAAGCACCGGCCAACUACGUGCCAGCAGCCGCGGUAAU
This 174-nucleotide ribosomal RNA is filed under the name uncultured Nocardioides sp. RNAcentral's name for it is "partial 16S ribosomal RNA". It matches the Rfam family "Bacterial small subunit ribosomal RNA", at positions 338 to 524 of the family's 1533-position model. Lineage: Bacteria; Bacillati; Actinomycetota; Actinomycetes; Propionibacteriales; Nocardioidaceae. The record is from RNAcentral.